CUCCGGCCUCCGUGCAAUCCCGAACACAUGAACCCCGCCAGGACCGGAAGGUAGCAACGGUAGUGUUGUUCGGAUGUGCUGCGGUAGUAACCGGAGCCU
Molecule: signal recognition particle RNA, 99 nt
Filed under: Acidobacteriota bacterium
Lineage: Bacteria; Pseudomonadati; Acidobacteriota
Description: Acidobacteria bacterium (activated sludge metagenome) signal recognition particle sRNA small type
Rfam family: Bacterial small signal recognition particle RNA
About the family: The signal recognition particle (SRP) is a universally conserved ribonucleoprotein involved in the co-translational targeting of proteins to membranes. Archaeal SRP consists of a 7S RNA and homologues of the eukaryotic SRP19 and SRP54 proteins.
Source: RNAcentral